UACGUAGGGUGCAAGCGUUAAUCGGAAUUACUGGGCGUAAAGCGUGCGCAGGCGGUUUGGUAAGACAGAUGUGAAAUCCCCGGGCUUAACCUGGGAAUUGCAUUUGUGACUGCCCGGCUAGAGUGUGUCAGAGGGGGGUAGAAUUCCACGUGUAGCAGUGAAAUGCGUAGAGAUCGGAAAGAACACCAACGGCGAAAGCACUCUGCUGGGCCGACACUGACACUGAGAGACGAAAGCUAGGGGAGCAAAUGGG
This 253-nucleotide ribosomal RNA is filed under the name uncultured bacterium. RNAcentral's name for it is "partial 16S ribosomal RNA". It matches the Rfam family "Bacterial small subunit ribosomal RNA", at positions 524 to 776 of the family's 1533-position model. The record is from RNAcentral.